RNA transcript from Schistocerca gregaria, 4616 nucleotides. RefSeq lists it as uncharacterized. The record is from RefSeq and is a predicted model, not a curated record. Lineage: Eukaryota; Metazoa; Arthropoda; Insecta; Orthoptera; Acrididae. The transcript has 5 exons.
ACUCUGUAAGCUAAAUGCGGACUCCCAAGAACCCAAGAUCCUCUGAAAAACAGAGGCUCUAUUCUUGGGUCUCAAAACUCCUCCGCAGUGCGUUUCAGUUUCACAAGGCAGACAAACCGAACGUUUCGGAGAAAACAAACUCGUUGGAUGCACAGGGAGACGCGGAGUCAAUAAAACCUUUAGCCGACUUAUCGAGUGCAAAUUCAUCCGAUGCCCUCGGCGUCGGUGGCCUAUCAGCUCCUGACCCCAAAAACCCCAUUCCAGGAGAGGGCGGGGUAGAGAAGGAUGGUGAAAGUAUAGGAAAUGAAAUUUUGGUUAGUGAGACGGACGGUAAUAAGGAAGAGCCAAAGAGUCAAGGUUCGGGUGUGUCGACAUUCAAAAAAUAUAAAGAUAGAGUGUCUGAAGAAAUGGGAGACGAUGAGGAUUGGCUAAAACUGAAGCAAAGUGCGAGCAGCCAAGUGCACUCAAUUUUACAGGAUGAAGAAAGUGAGGAGAAGUCACAAGAGAGUGAGAGCGAGCAGUCUGCUUGUCUUGACAACCUAGAUCAAGAUGACCUUGUGGCGGCGGCGGCAGAAUUUGUCAGCUCGAGCGAAGAGGAAGGAGAUGAAGGGGAGGAAUCGGAGGUACACGAGUUCGGCAAGCUGGAGGCCAAGUCUAAAAAAUUGGACGAGCGCCGUCGAAGAAUGAGAGAGGAGGCGCAAACAGAAUUCCAGGAGCAGUUGGACGACCAACAAAGCGACGAUUCGAUUUGUGAACAAAAGUUUGAAUUCCCCAGUAAGUCAGCUCUGAAAAAAGAGAAGGAGUUGAUGGUGGAUUUGUCAUAUGUCAAAGAAAGAAUCAGACAGGUUUUGCAUAUUUUGUCUAAUUUCAAACAGAACCGGGAUCCGCUUCAUUCACACAAAGAAUAUCAGGCAUUGCUGAGGAACGAUCUUGGAUAUUAUUAUGGAUAUAACGAUUUUUUGCUUCGUAAAUUGUCGACCAUUUUUUCGUCCAUGGAAAUGGUAGAAUACAUGGAAACCAGUGAAGCAGACCGCCCCCUGACCAUUCGAACAAACACUUUGAAGACUCGUAGAAGCGAUCUUAUGAAAGCUCUGGCGGCGAAGGGCAUCAAAGCAGAGCCGAUAAAAUGGAAUAAGGAUUUGUUGCAAAUUUUUGAGUCGUCCGUACCAAUCACCUCAUUGACGGAAUACAUGGCUGGGCACUAUAUACUUCAGUCUGCCUCGUCAAUCACGGCAGUUAGCUCGCUUGACCCGCAGCCAGACGAGCGCAUUUUGGAUAUGUGCGCUGCGCCGGGUGCGAAAACAACACACAUAGCACAGCUUAUGAAAAACACAGGAAUGAUUGUGGCAAAUGACAUCAAUCCUCAACGAAUGAAUUCGUUGGUGGCAAAUUUACAUCGUUUGGGCGUUUGCAACACGAUAGUUACGAACUACGAUGGUGGGAAAUUUCCCAAGAUAAUGAAGGGAUUCGAUCGAGUGUUGCUUGAUGCCCCGUGCACUGGAACAGGCAUUAUCUCUCGGGAUACAAGCAUCAAAACGUCGAAAAGCAAAAAAGAUCUGAACGUUCUAGUGUUGACCCAAAAGCGACUCUUGCUAGCGGCCAUCGACAGCGUUGAUCCGCACAGCAGAUCUGGGGGUAUUAUCGUAUACUCGACUUGUAGUGUGCUUGCAGAAGAGAACGAAUUUGUCAUCAAUUAUGCACUGAAAAAAAGGUUCGUCAAGGUUGUUGAUUCAGGAAUGGAAUUCGGGAAACCCGGAAUCGUAUCCCACCGCGGCAUCAGACUUCACGACACCAUUACGAGGGCACGCAGAUACUAUCCACAGACGUAUAACAUGGAUGGAUUUUUUGUAUGCAGGCUGAGGAAGCUAAAGAACGGACCUAGGGAUUCAGCAGAAACAGCGAAAAACGAAAACCUAAAGAAAAAGAGAAAUCGAAUGGAAACAACCAAGCGUCAAAAAGACGAAUUCCUCGUUCUGGACGAAGAGGAACAGCAGCGAAAUCCCAAAAAGACCAAAGCGCAAUAAAAAAAAUUUUUUUUUAAUAAAAAUUGUCACUUUGAUUUUUUAUUGCAUUUUCCGUCCUUGUGUCAAGAUCAUGCACUUUCUGAGAGCCCGGUUGAAUCGACCAUUUCGUGCUCUUCAAAAAUGUAAUUUUCGUCUGUUGUCGACUUCUAUUCCGGGGAAACUAGCUCAAUCGCGUAGUGCCUCUAUCUAUAGGCCUGCGGUUGAAUACCCCCCUUUUCGGUCUCCCAUCGCCAGCAAACAUCUCAUGCAACCCGUAUAUCCAAAAUCCCUCGAAGAAAUGAACACGCAAGUCUUAGGCAUCGAAAGAGACAUGGAUCGCUACGUGUUGUCUGGAAACUAUGUAGAGGCGUGUUGCUUAUUUGAGAGUCGAAUUGAAACGCAUCCGAGCAUACGUGUCCAACCGAAGAUCGUGAUGUUGGCCGUUCUUGCCUAUGACAGGUUAAACUCGCUCGAAAAUAUUGAAGAAAUAGUGAAUUUCAUAGAGGCUCAAGAAAAGGUGACCUAUUCCAUCUAUGAAGUGCUCCUGAAGGUGUAUACGUGUCGUGGAAUGGUGUCUGAAGCGCUAGAGAUAACAAGGCGCAUUCGACAGGCGGGAUAUGUGCAGACUGUGAAAAUGUAUUAUUUGCUGGCUAAAAUGUUCGCGGCGUUGGAUGACACCUUGAAUCUGGAGAAAAUCAGGCAGGAGAUGGAAAUUUGGAUGCCGGAGCAUUUGUCCACGUUCUAUUCAAUUAUUGCGAGAAAUCACUUAGACAGAAAGCGUCUUCACUUGGCGCAGGACGUCAUGACGCAGAUGUACCUAAAACAGAUCGGAUUCGAACCUUCUGUCUUUGUGAGUCUGCUGCAUUUGCGAAUCGAGAUGAAGAACCCGGAUGCGGUCACGCAGACUUUGAAGGAAAUGGAGGUCUUGAAGAUCAGGCCCAAGAGCGAUUUCUACAGCACCUUGAUAUGGGUUUUGCUGGACGCCAAGCAGGUCGACAGGGUUUUUGUCAUACUCGAUUACAUGAUUGCACAUAGGAUCAAACGCAACACCUCCAUGUAUGUAGUCCUUAUAGAUAAGCUGGUCAAGAUGGGCGAGAUAUCUACGGCUAUGGUCGCGUUCGAGAGGCAUUGGGGCGACGUGUAUGCACCGCUGAAUCACAUGUCUUUCAGCAUUAUGUGCACGGCGUUGGACGGACAAGAAGACGACAAGCUGGUGAUGGUAUUGUUGGAGCGGCUGUACGAGACGGGCAUGAUAAUAGAGCCGUUUGCUAUAACCAAAAUAACGCUCGCUCUGAUUGAAUUCGAGCGAGUCGAUUUGGCGUUGGAACUUAUCAAGAUGGUGGAAGAGAAGCUGUACAACGGAAAAUACCCCACGAAACCAGGAAUUAUUAAUUUGGUGUGUUUCGUACUGAUGAAGUACGGCGAGCCUCAGGAUGCUGCGCAUUUUGCCAGAUGGACUCUGAGCAAGAGGUUGCCGCCUGCGAGAAUGAUCAUCAGCGUUGUAUGUGCAUGGCUUCGUCAGGAUUUGAACCAGCGAGAAUUUGACUUGGACACCUUAUGUGAUUUAAUUAUAGAGCACUCUAGUGUUUUGCAAAUCCCGACUUUUUACUCUUCUAGGCUCCUGGAUUUGCUGAUAGAGGGUAAGAGGUCCGAAUUGGCCCAGAGACUGUUCGACGGAAUCAUCGGCACACCGGUUCAGCCGGACUUUCGAAGAAUUGGAAAUUACAGCCGUAUCAUGGAAAAACUCGCGUUUUGUGGAAACAGAAAACCGCUGGUUGUGUCAGACACGACAGCAGAGCAUCAGCAAGAAGAUGAAGCAAACUCAGCCGUGAGAGAAUCACGCCCAGCCACAACAAAAUGGGCGACGUUUCCUACCGACACCGCGUCGCAGGGCGACGUUGUCAAUGUUCUCUCGGAAGAGGAGAUCAUUUCAAGUGAAGAAAACAUAAGUUGGUUGACCCCAGAACUUUUGUACCAAGACUCUAAAAAUAACUCGUCGGAAAAAGUGUGCGAAUGAGGCAGACCAACAAGUGUACAAACCCUAACAACACUCAGGUCUUUUAUAAAUCGAAUCAAUGGAAGAAACGGCUGUUUAUCAACCUGUUUGCAACGCUCUAACUUUCCGAGAAACGUAAUCAUGCACGCGAUUCAAUCUCGUCUCAUUGGCUCUACUUGCGGCUAUCACCUGAUAUUGUCCUUUACACAAUGCAAGUGAUCUCUGAAAUUUGCAGACGGGUGGUUUCCAUGCAUAUGGUGGUCCGCUGGCUCCCUUGUAGCCAUCAUACUAACAGAAUUUAAUGUUUUAAGUAAUCCUAGCCGAACCCUGGCUUCGGACUGUUCCUCCAGGUAAUGAGCCAGAAUUUCAUUAACUGUCUUCUUAUAUUCUGGCUCCGAAUCCAAAAUGGCAACAAUAUCUUCACUAGAGUAUUCGACUUGGCCCAGCGUGUAAUUUUCUAACUUGCCUAAAUCUUUGGGCUGCACCUUCGACGAGUACGCGGAUCGAAUUGCAUACCGGAAUUCAAUCCAUUCCUCUAGAGAAUACAAUUUAGGCACGUUCAUUUGUUGCUCGUUGACGCUGCGAUUGAAGAAUUGCAAAAAAAAAAAAAAAAGUAC